ACUUGUGGAAAUGAGGCAUGAAUAAAUGGAAUGGUUCACCAAACUACGUGGCAUAAUACGAAGGACUGGAACUUAGUCACAACUACUUUGGCCAGAGAUGAGCAUUGGCGUACUUGAAUGAACGAAAUAGUACUUCUUAAAGAACAUUUAACAGAAGGGUAAAUUGGCCGUAACAACGCACCACCCUAACAAAGGAACAUCGUCCUCAAAACAUCUCACACACAGGUAAGAUUU
Molecule: long non-coding RNA, 234 nt
Organism: Culex quinquefasciatus (southern house mosquito)
Lineage: Eukaryota; Metazoa; Arthropoda; Insecta; Diptera; Culicidae
Exons: 3
Source: RefSeq, a predicted model, not a curated record